Molecule: ribosomal RNA, 265 nt
Filed under: uncultured Glomus
Lineage: Eukaryota; Fungi; Glomeromycota; Glomeromycetes; Glomerales; Glomeraceae
Description: partial 18S ribosomal RNA
Rfam family: Eukaryotic small subunit ribosomal RNA
Source: RNAcentral
UUAAGAAGCUCGUAGUUGAAUUUCGGGGUUAGUAGGUUGGUCAUGCCUCUGGUAUGUACUGGUCUCACUGAUUCCUCCUUCCUGAUGAACCGUAAUGCCAUUAAUUCGGUGUUGCGGGGAAUUUGGACUGUUACUUUGAAAAAAUUAGAGUGUUUAAAGCAAGCUAACGCUUGAAUACAUUAGCAUGGAAUAAUGAAAUAGGACGUUCGAUCCUAUUUUGUUGGUUUCUAGGAUUGACGUAAUGAUUAAUAGGGAUAGUUGGGGG